CCUAAAUGCUAUUGAAAUACAAUAAUUAUGAUCGACGGCUCAUUUGACCAACAGGGGACUGACGCGAUUCGCUUAAGACCACAAUCAAAAUUAAACAAUAAAUCUCAAGGGAUGGCAUGGCUAAAGUCCUCACUGUGUAGACCAUAGAGCCGAUCUUUAUUUCUUUGGAGAGGGAAUAUGAAUAAUUCAAGGUUGUAAGGUGUUCUGAGGCUGGAUAAAAAAAAGAGGAAGUCAGUUGCGACUUCUGCAG
Long non-coding RNA from Macadamia integrifolia, 250 nucleotides. RefSeq lists it as uncharacterized. The transcript is spliced from 3 exons. The record is from RefSeq and is a predicted model, not a curated record. Lineage: Eukaryota; Viridiplantae; Streptophyta; Magnoliopsida; Proteales; Proteaceae.